GUGGGUGUGACAAAGUAUAACCAAACUGCGUAUGUGCAUUUCUCAGACUUCAGAAGAGGAAACAUCAGAGUAGAGUCCGACAAAAACUGAUACAUCUGAGUAUUUUGAAACCCAGAACACCAACCACGGUAAGACCUUUCUGUUUCUGGUUCAACCCUAGAAAUCUAUCUUAGAUAAGUUAGUGUAAUAUUUGGCUGUAAGUCAAAGUUAAAAAACAAAAUACGGUUUCUUUAACACUGUUAAAUCUUCACUAAAGAGCUUAAGUUAAGUUCAGCAAAAUGUCUUAAGUCAAAAAUACAAUGAAAAAAAACAUAAUUAAAAGAGUCCUAAUUAUAAAAUGGUUGAUAAUUAAUGUAAGAAAAAUGUUUUAAAAGGCCAAAAUAAAAGGUAGUAAGUCACAGUUGUAAGGUGGUAAGUUAAGAUUAAGAGUCAUAAUUAUAAAAUGACUUCAAAGUUAUAAGAAAAAUGAGAAAUAUAUAUCACAAUCUUAAGACAAAUAUAACUAUAUGAUAGAAAGUCAUAAUAUCAAGACAGUGAGUUAUGACUGGGAAAUUUUUCAGAAUUAUCACAAAAAAAUAAAGCUAUAACAUAGUCAUAAAAUUGUAAGUUACAAUUAUGAAAGUAUGUCAUGAUUAUAACAGAGUCAGAGUUAUAAGAGAGAACAUUGUGAUUAUAAGAAAAGUUUAAAUUAUGAAACAUUUUGAUGAGCCUGUCAUCAAAUCAAAUAUACAGACUGUUCAUGAAAACAAAGACUGCCUGAAUGAAAGGGUAUGUUUGAUUAUCAAAUUAAUGAAGAUGUCUCAGAGCUGAAACUUUUAGAGAGGACUUCAGCAGUUUACACAGAGAUGUCCUGAACUGAUUUUUAUAUGAUUUGGCAUGAACAAUAAGAUGCCACAUUUUGCUGUUUCUAUCCUAGAAAGUCUGUGUAGAUGAGACCUGAGAUUUUCAACAGCAUUUACAGAGGCUGGUAGCUUAUUUACACUCUACUGACCUGAAGAGCUGCUUUACUUUUACUUUCAUUCUGACUCAAGAGCUUGUUAUCUUGACGACCAUUCCCCAGUGUGUCUUUAAAUGGUCACGUGAAAUUAAGAGUGAUUACACAGUGCCAAUAUAAACAGAGUUUUCUCAACUUUUUUUCCCUCUGCAGCCAUGGGAGGUGAGGAGUCAAAGCCUGUCCCAGAGCCAAGUAAUAUUAUUUUUGAAUAUUAAAUAAAUCUUUUAUCAAAAUACAAUUUCAGGGAAAAAUUCUGACAAAACCUAAAUUUGUUUUUCUUUCAGUGUUCAGUGAGCCAUGGCGGCAACUCAACUGGAUGUAAGUACUCUCUAAUGUCUAAUGUGCUAUUUUCCUAAAUCACUGGGUGUGUGAUUUACAAAGUGCCAGUGGAUAUACAAAACCAAAUCCUGACAGCAAAGGGUUAACUUUUUGGGGUUUAUUCAGAGUAACGUUUUCUUUUUUUAAACUCUUUGGUUUAUUCCUCUGCUUUGUUUUUAUGUAUGUCUGUGUUUACCUGGGUAAGCACUUAGUAAACCUUUUUGAAAGGUGCAGUAUAAAUACAUUAAUUAUUGGUGUUAUUAUUAUUAUUACAAUUAUAAUUACUAUAUCUGUUAUUAUUAUCUCUGUAAUUACUCAGCUACCAACUAAAUAAACAAAUAAGUUAGCUCCAAGAAUUGAUUAAAAGAUGAUUUUGUUGGUUUAAAAAUGAUUCACUUAUAUUCCUUCAGUUUUAAUGUUUGGUGCUAGUUCAUGCUCACUGCACACCUCUCUUUUGUCAAACUUGUGUCUCUGAUUUUCUGACCUCUGCAAACACACACCUGGCUCCUCCUCCUGCUGUCCUCUCCCCACACAUGGCUGCAUGACAGUUUGAACUGCUGCUGCACAAAGAGCUACAGAUACAUCAGUCUAUGUCCACCUUUUACAACAUCAGCAAAUUACAUGUGCACACAGCUGUGCUGCAAAUUUAUCUGCUCAAAUAAAAAGUGAAGAUUUUUAAAAAGAAUUUAAAAAAGGAUAGGUCUGAGUUAAAGAAUUUCACUCUUGCAAAAAGGAGCAGUCACAAACAGAAAGUCUGUAAGCAAGUGCUCAGAGGACUGUACUCUGACUUUGUUUUAGACACAGGGCGUUAUCAGUUUACAUCAGUCAUAUCGAAACAUAAUCAUCCAUAACAAGCUGUUCACAACUUUCUUUGUUUUGCAGACUGGGUUCAGCUUUUGUUUCCCAGCCUUGACUCAGGGUCAGAACAGAGAUAGACAGUAACAGUGUGUUGCUCAGCAUAUUUCUAUAAAAGCUGUCCUUAAAUUACCUUUGAUGACAUGAGUACAUGUACAAGGACUGGAUAAGAAGAUAUUUGUCCAGAAUCACUACUCAGUGUUCCAACAAAGUAAAUGUUCAGCUUCACAAUGCAAAGAAACUCUUUGCAGCCUGUUCAGCACAAUCGAAUGAGAGUAACCAAGCCCCCAUAUAUCCUGACGUCCAACUGUGUGCACUACCAACAUAAAACACAUAAGAACUAAUGUGGGACUUUUAUGAGAUAGUCACAUGACAGUAUGUGUGUGCACUGACACCUCUCCUGAGCCAUCCUUUCUCUCCCUUCAUAGUUUCACAUCCUGCACUGAAUGUGCACCACGUCAUUAUGCAAAACUAAAAAAAGUUGUGGUUGUUAUCAUUUUAUGUCACACAUCUUUCCUCCUCUGAACAGGGACAGACAAGGCAUUCUGGACUAUGUGAAGAACUACAACCCAAGGACCCCAGGGCAGCAGAUCAGAAUUCUUCUUCAUGGGCCAAAUGCAAGUGGAAAGUCCAGUUUCAUCAACUCUGUUAACAGUCUCUUACGUGCAAGACCGUACAUCAACGCUUUAGCAGACAACACCCACGGCGAAAGUUUUACCAAAGUGGUAUGAUGACUUUUUUGUUGUAACAUAAAGGAAAUGUCUCAAAUUUGUAAUGAUAAUGAAAAAUCUACUAACUCCCAGUGCAUGCCUUGUGUCAUAAUAAUCUUUACUUUUAUUACUUAAAGGGAUGGUUUAGUGGUUUCCAAGUGUGGUCAUUUCAGGUGCUCGUCAAUGUUAAGUGUAUUUGCCAAAGGGAUCCCAGUGACUUGGGCCCCCUUUGCUGAGAAACCACAUAGAGGACUACUACAGGUGGGCUCAGCUCCACCAAGUGAUUUCAAUCAUUUUAAAUCCCAACCAAGGGUUGAGGGUGCUGUUCUUGCAGUGGCUUUACCCAGUGAGGAGGCAGACAACAUCCAUUCUAUAUACAGUCUAUGGGCACAACCAAGAAAUUGAGGCUACAAGAUCCUUAAAGGUUAGCUGGUCAUCAAUCAUGACACUACAGUUUCCAGACAUACUUUGCGUGCAUCAGUUUCUCUGAUCCAAACUGGGUAUCAGUCUGAGUCAAAUGUGGUGUUUCUUCAUCCAUUCAGUCAUAUCACAAAAGCAUAAUGAGAUUUUAGUUGAAAGAGUUGUGUGAGUGUGACAGAAAGAGACGGGUAUUGUCUGCAUAGUAAUUGUUGUUGGCCUGAAAGAAAAAAAAUUCACUUGGACAGUUUUAAGGGACUUACAGUAUCUCACAAAAGUGAGUACACCCCUCACUUUUCUGAAAAUAAUUAUAUCUUUUCAUGGAAUAACACUAAAGAAAUAACACUUUGACACAAAGUACAGUAGUCAGUGUACAGCUUGUGAAAUAGUAUAAAUUUAUUUUUCCCUCAAAAUAACUCAACACACAGCCAUUAAUGUGUACACCCCUGGCAAAAAAAGUGAGUACACCACUAAGUGAAAAUGUCCAAAUCGGGCCCAAAGUGUGAAUAUUUUGUGUGGCCGCCAUCAUUUACCAGCACUUACUUAACCCUCUUGGGCAUGAAGUUCACCAGAGCUUCACAGGUUGCCACUGAAGUCCUUUCACCUUCCCUUUAGGAUGCCCCACAGAUUCUUAAUAUGGUUUAUAACAGUCUUAGCCAACAUAGCACCAGCUAACUUACUGGCUUCUGUCAAUGAGCAUAAGUUCAGACUUUGAGUUUGAAAUCUAACAUGUAGGGGUAUCUAAUGUGGAGGAUUGAAUUCAUUCUGCUCUCAAUCUGUUCAUCUGCCACCUAUUUAGAUUUAAAGCUGCUUUUGGUCGUGAAUAGCAAAAUGUUAGAUUGUUGUGGGAUGCUGAGCUGCUCAGUGAAUACAUUGUUUAGAAGUCUUUAUUACUACUGAGAUGAAGUUAGUAUUAUUACUUUAUGUAAGAUCACGUAAAAGCUGAACAAGCCAAUAGUUAGUAUUUUUUGUAAUAAGAACAGUUUUUUUGUGUGAAGAGGGGUUGGAUUACUGGAUAAAAGAUGAUGGAGGUAAAUAUGUUUACUUUGUUUAAUGGAUGGGGACGAAAAUAUUUAAAAGAAAUCCUGUAUGGGGAAAAAGAUGCAUUGAUAAUCAUGAUAAUCGUUAAAAUCACAAUAAUCAUUGCAUUUGUUUGAUAAUCAAAUUUUAGCACCCUGAACUGGGAUCGCAUUAAAACGUUAGGUGCCCAAGAUGGCCCAACCCAACUAACUACACUCUCCUCCAUCUGUCUUUAAAAGUACAAAACCUACAAGAUCGACAAAGGGACCCCAGGGGCAUAUUACCCUUUUGUGUUCAAUGACAUCAUGGGCCUGCAAAACAGUAGAGGGGUCCUUCCAGAUGAUGUCAAACUGGCUCUGAAAGGACAUGUCAUGGAAAAUUACGAGGUACAUUUACUGCAAACUUUGCACAUUUUUCUUCCAAAAAGAUUUUAACGCAUCAUGUAUUAAAUCAGAAUUCUGUCUUUGUUAACAUGUGUUUCACUGUAAUGUUCUUCAAAUGAAUUUAAAACUGUUUUCCAGUUCAAUCCUGAAUCCAUGUUGACUGAGGAGAAUCAGUUCUAUAAACAAUAUCCGUCUGAGGAUGACAAAGUGACGGUUCUGGUUUGUGUUGUUAAUGCCCACAACAUGUCCAUAAUAAAAGAUGAAACUCUGAGAAUGUUAUGUGACAUCAGGAAGGAAGCCAGUCGCCUGGGUAAGACCAGAAAAACUUUUCCAAUAUUUUUCUCAAGAGUUAGAUAAAACUUUGAAAAAAAAAACACAGUUUAAUUCUUGACAGAUCUUCAAACAGUUCCUCUAGCUGAUUUUGAUAUAUGUAUCUGAAGGAGAACAGUGGCUUUUGAAAUGUUUUUUUCUUUCAUGGGACUCAAAGUUUUGUGUUUGACAGGAAUCCCUCAAGUGGCCAUCCUCACCCACAUUGAUGAGGUCUGUCCUGAAGUCAAGAAAGAUUUAAAAGAUGUCUACAAGUCCAUCUUACUGAAGAAGAAGGUAUGCUUACUUGUUGAUUUCAUGAUUUUGUAAAGAAGGAAUCACACUUUAAAAAGUAGUCUACAAAUGACACACCACUGGGCUCUGUUGCUCAGCACUGUUUUUUCUGCCACAAUGCUGCAGUUAGAUCAGGUGAUGAAAAAAUGAAGAACAUCAAAAAUUCUAAUUUAUACAAAUAAAUCAAGAAUUAAAUCCAAACCAGAUCUGAAUCUUUGUCCUGUAGUCAGGAUGACAGGAACAGCUCAGUAUCAUCUACAUAGCAGUGAUAUGAGAAUCCACAAGUAUGUAUUAGUGCACUUAGUGGGUUGGACUUCUCCUCUCCGUGAUAACCAAAAAGAUUCCCCUUUGAGUCAGGACACAGACCUAGAGGCCCCACCUAAAGCCAGACUGUAGUCUCCUUCCAAAGUCCUGAACUCCUCGUUUUAGUCCUUCUAAAGUCCCCAUGCUCUAAUAGAGGUCACUCAGAGUCCUUUUCUCCUCAGAGAGGUCAUUUGAAAACCCUGAUAUCCUCAUGGAGGUUAUUCCAAAGUCACUACAUUUCACCCAAACACUCUGAUUGGCAGUGACUGUCCUGAUCAGACCAACCAGGAAACCAGAGACAUGUAGUCCAGAUCCAGUCUUUAUUUGAGACCAGUGUUUUUCUGUCAAAACAUGUAGAGACACCAGGCUAGUAUCAUCGACUCUGAGUUUAAUUGAAUAGAUAAAUGAAACAGCCAUUCUAAAUCAGGCCUCAUUACCUCUUGUUCUGAAGAUCAGCUGCUCAUAAUUCAAAUUUGUUUCACUAGAUGGAGGAGUUCAGUGCAAAGGUGGGGAUCCCGAUGAACUGCAUCUUCCCUGUGAAGAACUACCAUGACGAGAUUGACACCAACAAUGACCUUGAUGUUCUGCUCCUGAGUGCUCUGAAAAACAUCAUCAUCUUUGGAGAAGACUACCUUAACCCCUAACUGCAGUAUUCAGCUGUGUGAUCCAUGCUGCUGAAACCCACAGAGCUAAAUAUUAAAUGUAAUGACCAUUUAAGGUAAUAUUGAAUCAUUGCUUUCUGAAGUGUCUCUUUACUAUGUGCCAAAGUUGAGCUUUAUGUGAUCAGCUUAGCAAACUUUUUUCUGCUUUCAGUGAGUUUAUAGUUCUCUCUUGCUUCUGUGAUUUUUACUCUAUGAAGUUUUAAAAAAAUGCAAAAUUUGAUUUCAAAUGUAUUCAAGACUUUACAUUCACAAUAAGAAACAGACCUUCUUGGUCUAAACUCCUGUCUUA
Molecule: long non-coding RNA, 6551 nt
Filed under: Xyrichtys novacula (pearly razorfish)
Lineage: Eukaryota; Metazoa; Chordata; Actinopteri; Labriformes; Labridae
Source: RNAcentral